RNAcentral lists this ribosomal RNA (253 nucleotides) under uncultured bacterium. Its description in RNAcentral is "partial 16S ribosomal RNA". It matches the Rfam family "Bacterial small subunit ribosomal RNA", at positions 524 to 776 of the family's 1533-position model. The record is from RNAcentral.
UACGUAGGGUGCGAGCGUUAAUCGGAAUUACUGGGCGUAAAGCGUGCGCAGGCGGUUCGUUAAGUCAGAUGUGAAAGCCCCGGGCUCAACCUGGGAACUGCAUUUGAAACUGGCGGGCUUGAGUGUGGCAGAGGGGGGUGGAAUUCCGCGUGUAGCAGUGAAAUGCGUAGAGAUGCGGAGGAACACCGAUGGCGAAGGCAGCCCCCUGGGCCAACACUGACGCUCAGGCACGAAAGCGUGGGGAGCAAGCAGG